GCUGGGCGUGGUGGCACACACCUGUAAUCCCAGCUACUCAGGAGGCUGAGGCAGGAGAAUCGCUUGAACCCAGGAGGCAGAGGUUGUAGUGAGCCAAGAUCGCACCACUGCACUCCAGCCUGGGUGACAAAGCGAGACUCUGUCUCUA
This 148-nucleotide non-coding RNA is filed under the name Pan paniscus (pygmy chimpanzee). Lineage: Eukaryota; Metazoa; Chordata; Mammalia; Primates; Hominidae. The record is from Rfam by way of RNAcentral. RNAcentral also lists the same sequence under 1 other name.